GAUGAACGCUGGCGGCGUGCUUAACACAUGCAAGUCGAGCGAGGAAUCACCUUCGGGUGUGAACUAGCGGCGGACGGGUGAGUAACACGUGGGCAACCUGCCUUACAGAGGGGGAUAGCCUUCCGAAAGGAAGAUUAAUACCGCAUAUUAUGAGUUUUCUGCAUGGGGAAUUCAUGAAAGGAGAAAUCCGCUGUAAGAUGGGCCCGCGGCGCAUUAGCUAGUUGGUGAGGUAACGGCUCACCAAGGCGACGAUGCGUAGCCGACCUGAGAGGGUGAUCGGCCACAUUGGGACUGAGACACGGCCCAGACUCCUACGGGAGGCAGCAGUGGGGAAUAUUGCACAAUGGGGGAAACCCUGAUGCAGCAACGCCGCGUGAGUGAUGACGGCCUUCGGGUUGUAAAGCUCUGUCUUCAGGGACGAUAAUGACGGUACCUGAGGAGGAAGCCACGGCUAACUACGUGCCAGCAGCCGCGGUAAUACGUAGGUGGCGAGCGUUAUCCGGAUUUACUGGGCGUAAAGGAUGCGUAGGUGGAAUUUUAAGUGGGAUGUGAAAUACCCGGGCUCAACCUGGGAACUGCAUUCCAAACUGGAAUUCUAGAGUGCAGGAGAGGAAAGCGGAAUUCCUAGUGUAGCGGUGAAAUGCGUAGAGAUUAGGAAGAACACCAGUGGCGAAGGCGGCUUUCUG
This 686-nucleotide ribosomal RNA is filed under the name uncultured Clostridium sp. RNAcentral describes it as "bacterial SSU rRNA". It matches the Rfam family "Bacterial small subunit ribosomal RNA", at positions 28 to 731 of the family's 1533-position model. Lineage: Bacteria; Bacillati; Bacillota; Clostridia; Eubacteriales; Clostridiaceae. The record is from RNAcentral.